GUGGGGAAUUUUGGACAAUGGGCGAAAGCCUGAUCCAGCCAUGCCGCGUGCAGGAUGAAGGCCUUCGGGUUGUAAACUGCUUUUGUACGGAACGAAAAGACUCCUUCUAAUAAAGGGGGUCCAUGACGGUACCGUAAGAAUAAGCACCGGCUAACUACGUGCCAGCAGCCGCGGUAAUACGUAGGGUGCAAGCGUUAAUCGGAAUUACUGGGCGUAAAGCGUGCGCAGGCGGUGUUAUAAGACAGAUGUGAAAUCCCCGGGCUCAACCUGGGAACUGCAUUUGUGAAUGUAUAGCUAGAGUAAGGUAGAGGGGGAUGGAAUUCCGCGUGUAGCAGUGAAAUGCGUAGAUAUGCGGAGGAACACCGAUGGCGAAGGCAAUCCCCUGGACCUGUACUGACGCUCAUGCACGAAAGCGUGGGGAGCAAACAGGAUUAGAAACCCGGGUAGUCC
RNAcentral lists this ribosomal RNA (450 nucleotides) under uncultured bacterium. Its description in RNAcentral is "partial 16S ribosomal RNA". It matches the Rfam family "Bacterial small subunit ribosomal RNA", at positions 354 to 796 of the family's 1533-position model. The record is from RNAcentral.